GGGGGAACCCCAGCCUCAGCGCCUACUGGGCACGGAUAGGAGGAGGGGUCCCUCCCUCUUAGCUCGGGGGGAGGGAUCUGCCCUGGUAUUCAAGUGUCCUGCCUCUCCAGCCCUGUCUUCUACCGUCACCAUCGGCCUUUGCUGCUGUCAGUUGAACACAGUUUCCCCACCCCUUACCCUUUUCCCUUCCUCCCCACCGGUGGCCUCUGCGGCCCGCCUCGCCCUCCCCGUCCACAGUGGAGGAGCUGAGACUUUCUCUGAAACUCAGCCAGAGCCUUUUCCAACAACAAGGGCAGGGAGGGGGAAGGAAGGUUGUUGAGCUUGGGAGGGGAUCCUGGGAUCUGUAGUUCGGAGGAUGGUACAGCCUGUGUCCGCUUCACGGACAGCCUGGUAAGGGGAACUACAGGGGUGGAUUCAUAGCUGCAAAAGGAGGUGAAGUUGGAGGAGGCCCGAGAGAGAAACUAGAGAGGGUGAGAAACUUUCUUCUUGGAAAAGUCUCCUGCGUGAACGUUGUCCAUUUAAAGCAAAGCCCAAGAAGUUUUCUGGAAAAUCAUUACUGAACAAAUGUGCUGUGACAGAUGCUGCUUGGGGAAAAAGGCCUGUUUUGAUGUGCACCAUGGAGGAUUUGUGUUCCUGUGCUAGGAGACUCUCCUUCUCAGGUAUGAAGCGGAAAUUUACAGAUAAAGCAAUGAAGAAGGAGCAGUAAGUUUGCUAGCCAGCCUUGUAGAAACUUCCUCCAGACUAUACAGUCAUUAACAUAUGCAGAAAUAAAUCAGCAGGAUGUUCCCGCCCUUCCUCCCCCUCCCCCGCAAGACAAUAGCUUUGCACCUGUUGAAGACUUAUGAAAUUGGGCAGAUUUUUCUUUUUCUCUCACUGUAAGCAUUUUAUAGGUCAGGCACAGUGGAAAAUCAGUGAUCCAAACCAAACUGAAAUGUGUGUUGUAGUGGUUGACUUGGUCAUGUAACUGGUUGAAAUUAAAAGUAUUAUAGGGAUAACCUUGUGUUCUUGUGGCAGUGGAAUGCACAGCCAUGUAAGAGAUCAGUAUUUAGGCCCAGAUCCACAAAAGGAUUUAGGCACCUACAGCUCAGAUUUAGGCACCUAAGUCCCCGUUGUGGGCAUCACUGUGAUUCACAAAA
Long non-coding RNA from Trachemys scripta elegans, 1136 nucleotides. RefSeq lists it as uncharacterized. The record is from RefSeq and is a predicted model, not a curated record. The transcript has 4 exons. NCBI's taxonomy places the organism in Eukaryota, Metazoa, Chordata, Testudines, Emydidae.